UAGUAGUAUCCUUUAUCUUAUUGGCGGUUUCAUAAGUUGAGUAGAGGUAGCAAGCAGAAGGAAAUAGUGCUCUUCAGUAACUAUUUUCCGAUUACUUUAAGCAUUUAGAACACUUCUGUUGUGUAGGUAACGGAUUUAACCAGAAUGAAAACUGUUGAUCUCUAUGAAUUGCCCAAUAAUUUUAUCUGACUAGAAAUUUGCUUGAAACUGUGGAAAAGAUCCAAAUCUCACAGCCUGAGAAAAUUUCUGCCCAAGUAACACAUGACAUACACGGACCCACUAUGUUUAAUACAGCAAAUCUGACUCAUUGUCUCUAGCGUCUAAAAUAGAUGUGGAUGUGCUAUCAGCAUCAUUUAUCCUGCACGUCUAUAGGUAUUUAUUAGUUAGCUAAUCCGCUAUGUAAUGGGGGAAGUUUUUUAAUCUUUUAAACUAAAAUACUGCAGUAUUCCUGGAAUCAUGUAAUAUGAUUAUUUUAAAUGCCUCUC
This 485-nucleotide long non-coding RNA is filed under the name Bos taurus (domestic cattle). RNAcentral's name for it is "long non-coding RNA NONBTAT023656". Lineage: Eukaryota; Metazoa; Chordata; Mammalia; Artiodactyla; Bovidae. The record is from RNAcentral.